AUGUAACCGCCAUGGGGGUAGGAGCCCAGAACUAUUCUCCGGAAGAAGAGGAACCAGAAGACAAGACAUUGGAUUUUAAAUACAGUUAUCCACAAAGUAGCUUGGGCUCCUUGGAAAAGUGACUGAUGGUACAGAGUUGGCAGUAAGGAAGCAAAAUAUACCAGGAAUCUCUUCUCAGAAAGAUAAUUUCGGGCUCUGUGUAUGAGAAAAAGAGAAUAUUAUGUGACUAUUUCCUGCAAACAGAAACACUCCUUCCUGGAGUAAAGAUGGAGGCUCAUAAGACCCAGGAAGCAAACACAACUUACAAGCCUGCUGAUCACCAUUCUGUCUGGACCCUCAUUGUGUACAGUCAGUGGGGGAUUCUCUGUCUGGACUGACUGUCCAUCAGCUGCCUCCUGACCAGUGUUUGUGAAGACCCUCAGUUGAGAGAUGCUCUAACUGCGCCUCUCCCAGGCAUGUGCCACACAUCUCAUGGGUCAUCCAGUCGCCAGCAUGGGCAGUUUGCCUUUUCUACAGACAAGAGUUUAAAUGAGAAUCGCAGCCCCAGCUGACAGACAUGAACAAAGAUAAAGAUGUGAGCUCUCAGGUACUGCUCCAGCACCAUA
This is a long non-coding RNA of Mesocricetus auratus (golden hamster), 605 nucleotides long. RefSeq lists it as uncharacterized. The record is from RefSeq and is a predicted model, not a curated record. The transcript has 5 exons. Lineage: Eukaryota; Metazoa; Chordata; Mammalia; Rodentia; Cricetidae.